UACGUAGGGGGCAAGCGUUAUCCGGAUUUACUGGGUGUAAAGGGAGCGUAGACGGCAGUGCAAGUCUGGAGUGAAAGGCGGGGGCUCAACCCCCGGACUGCUCUGGAAACUGUACGGCUGGAGUGCAGGAGAGGUAAGUGGAAUUCCCAGUGUAGCGGUGAAAUGCGUAGAUAUUAGGAGGAACACCAGUGGCGAAGGCGGCUUACUGGACUGUAACUGACGUUGAGGCACGAAAGUGUGGGGAGCAAACAGG
RNAcentral lists this ribosomal RNA (253 nucleotides) under uncultured bacterium. Its description in RNAcentral is "partial 16S ribosomal RNA". It matches the Rfam family "Bacterial small subunit ribosomal RNA", at positions 524 to 776 of the family's 1533-position model. The record is from RNAcentral.